This 198-nucleotide ribosomal RNA is filed under the name uncultured bacterium. RNAcentral describes it as "partial 16S ribosomal RNA". It matches the Rfam family "Bacterial small subunit ribosomal RNA", at positions 328 to 539 of the family's 1533-position model. The record is from RNAcentral.
ACGCUCGACACCUACGGGAGUCAGCAGUGGGGAAUAUUGCACAAUGGGGGAAACCCUGAUGCAGCGACGCCGCGUGGAGGAAGAAGGUCUUCGGAUUGUAAACUCCUGUUGUUGGGGAAAAAGAGGAUGGUACCCAACAAGGAAGUGACGGCUAACUACGUGCCAGCAGCAGCGGUAAUCUGAGCGGGCUGGCAAGGC